AGCAGUAGCCGCGGGAAUACGUAGGUCCCGAGCGUUGUCCGGAUUUAUCGGGCAUAAAGCGAGCGCAGGCGGUUAGAUAAGUCUGAAGUUAAAGGCUGUGGCUUAACCAUAGUACGCUUUGGAAACUGUUUAACUUGAGUGCAAGAGGGGGGAGUGGAAUUCCAUGUGUAGCGGUGAAAUGCGUAGAUAUAUGGAGGAACACCGGUGGCGAAAGCGGCUCUCUGGCUUGUAACUGACGCUGAGGCUCGAAAGCGUGGGGAGCAAACAGGAUUAGAUACCCCCGUAGUCCCUGUCUCUUAUACA
This 303-nucleotide ribosomal RNA is filed under the name uncultured bacterium. RNAcentral describes it as "partial 16S ribosomal RNA". It matches the Rfam family "Bacterial small subunit ribosomal RNA", at positions 507 to 808 of the family's 1533-position model. The record is from RNAcentral.